UACGAAGGGGGCUAGCGUUGUUCGGAAUCACUGGGCGUAAAGGGCGCGUAGGCGGCGCAGCGUGUCGGCUUGUGAAAGCCCGGGGCUCAACCCCGGAGGUGCGGCCGAAACUGCUGUGCUGGAGGCCGGAAGAGGAGGGUGGAAUACCCAGUGUAGAGGUGAAAUUCGUAGAUAUUGGGUGGAACACCGGUGGCGAAAGCGGCUCUCUGGUCCGGACCUGACGCUGAGGCGCGAAAGCGUGGGGAGCAAACAGG
Molecule: ribosomal RNA, 254 nt
Filed under: uncultured bacterium
Lineage: Bacteria
Description: partial 16S ribosomal RNA
Rfam family: Bacterial small subunit ribosomal RNA
Source: RNAcentral